GGGAAGGUGGCUCAAUGGUAGAGAGCUUGCCUUGCAUGCAUGAGGUCCUGGGUUCGAUUCCUCAUUACCA
RNAcentral lists this transfer RNA (70 nucleotides) under Dipodomys ordii (Ord's kangaroo rat). It matches the Rfam family "tRNA". From Rfam's summary of the family: Transfer RNA (tRNA) molecules are approximately 80 nucleotides in length. Lineage: Eukaryota; Metazoa; Chordata; Mammalia; Rodentia; Heteromyidae. The record is from Rfam by way of RNAcentral.